AAAUGGGGUGGGUUUAUUAUAUAAUGGUCUAAGUUCAAGACCCCCCCCCCCACCUCUCGUCUCUUUCAUUACCCACCUUCUUCAGAGAACAUUUACAACCCUAGAUGCUGCCCAAAAUUCCCACCACCACUGGUGGCGGCGCCUAUCCUAAACACCACCGGAUUAACACCCUAAAGCCCCCUGCCUCCUCUCAUUCCAUGUAUCCAAUUCAUUUCCCUCGAAUCUUAACAGAACUCCUCGAAUCUUGAAUCACAAGUUGAAUCCUAAAUUCCAGAUUUUCCCAAUUGAAGUCUUUGUUGAAGUUUUAAGUUCACUCUGAGGUUAUUUAUGCAUUUUUGAUGAAAAAACACAUGCUUAAUCUCAGAUUGAGCUAAGAUUUGAAAGUUUCGAUUCAUCGCUAUCUUCUGUUCGAUGCUCCCCUUUAAGUAUUUUUCUUCGUGUUUUCUUUUUCAGUUUCUUUUCUCUCCCACUGUUAUCUCCUGCUAUUUUCUUUUUUUCGAAAUCGUCUUUGUAUGUUUUUCUCGGUUCAGUAUGUGAAUUGAUUGUUGUUUUCCCUCUUAGUUUAUUUGGAUUCGUCGUCUAGUUUUGUCUAAUUUGCUAUUUCUUUAAGUUUUGGGCUAUAUUGUGACCAUUUGGUCCAAAGGCUUCAAGGUCCACUGGCCCCUUUGCCCGCCUAGUUGAUUGCUCAUUUGAUUGUUUGAAUUGGGUUUUUUGGGGCCAAAGGGAGGGGGAAAUUAGCCCAAGUUUCAAAGGGAUUCACUGGGUCAGCUUGACCCGUGUAUUAUUUUUGAAGGUAAUUUUCAGGGUCUUAGAGGAAAAUUGGGGAAUUUGGUAUGGGGAAUCUUGUUGUAACUACUUGGGAAGAUUCCUAGAAGCUGGGUUAGGGACUUAAGGGGGAAAUCUGAUUUCAACCUUAAUAAAUUCACAAAGAGGCAAAAUGCAAAAACUAAAACCUGAAAGCUGCCCAUUUCCUUGCCUAUAAAGGCAUGCUUUCUUGCAUUUGAAGGAGAGGUGGAAGGGAUAAAAAUUUCAGAAAAUUAAAAACGAUUGCAAUGAUGCUCCUUUAUUUAGUUAACAUCACCAAAAUGAUGAUAUUCCACAUUUGAGUUGAAAUAGACUGAUUCUGGUCAGCUUUCUGAAAAUUCUGGGUUUAGUUUUGCUGGGGAAACACUAUUUCAUUGCUGAUCUGGGGCUGUGUUUUACUGUUUCAUUUGGCUGGCCAUUACUGUUGCUCCCACUUUGCUCCAGGCUAAAUUUUGGUUUAUUUUGCUUCUAUUCAGGUACAUGCUUUGAACUUCAGUUGAUGUAAAGCUGGAUUGGAAAAAAUGAAAUGGAAAACAAGAUUUGAAGUGUGGAAGAAAAUUUGCUUGUGAUUCAAUAUCACUUCCUCAUUUUUGUGUCCUUCAUAAUGUGAAUCAUAAUAUGUUAAUUGAUUUGGAAUUUGAAAUAGUUAUCUUUCAUGUUUGUAUUUGGUUUGGAAUCUCUUAAAUGCUGUAAUAGUAGAGUUGGGUUGAAUUACUGUGUACUGGUUGUGCUUCCCUUUUGGUUGCAACAAUGGUAAUCUAGAUUGAUUGAAAUGGCUAGUAUAGGGUAGGGACAUAUUGAUGACAUACCAUAUGCAAUUUGAAGGACAUCAAGAAAUUAGCUUGUUGUGGAUAUUCUAUUAAUAAACUUGUGC
Molecule: long non-coding RNA, 1678 nt
Filed under: Nicotiana tabacum (common tobacco)
Lineage: Eukaryota; Viridiplantae; Streptophyta; Magnoliopsida; Solanales; Solanaceae
Description: long non-coding RNA (NTAB_LNC007729)
Source: RNAcentral